AGAAGUCACACUGCAACUUCACCUGGAAAAGUAUCCUGCCGAUGAAAGGGCCUGCUGACACGGGGAGAGAGAUAGACUCCCAACCAAACCCGAAAACAGACUCUGGACAUUCAAAUGUAAACCAAGCCAGCCAGUCGAGGGGUGCUGGGCCCAGUCACCAGUCCGGCCACAGUGAUGGAUCCCUGCACAGCAACCAGUACCGACACAGAAAGCGGUCCAGGCACAGUGACAGGUCCCAGCAAAGCAAACUGUACCGACACAAGAAGCAGUCCAGGCACAGCGAUUUGUCUAAAGACGAGUUUCAGAAAAAAGUUUUAACUAAAUUGGUGGAUAUCCACAUGGAGGUCAGAAGGCUGGGGAAAAAGCGAGCCUCCCCUGUCAUCCGCCCAUAUAGAGCUACUGGAGACGAUGGAGUUUGAGAGAGAGGAGGAACGCCUCAAGGACAAGCAAGCCUUUGAGUCCCUGGUGAUGCAACUUGCAAGAAUUGGAGGGAAAGAUUUAAGGGAUUGUGUCUACAAAAUUCUUGACAGGCUCUUUACCAACCGGCUAAUGGCAAAAUUCAAUAUGAAGGGAAAGAAGCAGAAACUGCCUCCUGGAGAAGACUACGACUUUUGAAGCAAUUCAAGCUGCAGUCAUGAAAUGGGAUAAAGAAGCUACAGAGGCUACGGUCAAGCAUCAUGCAGCAGGACAUCUCAAACAUGCACCAAGGAAGAAGGGAGGUGGAGGGUAUACAGGGGUGGAAAGUAACUAGGAAUUUUGCACGAGUACUAUAAAGGCUAUUUUAUGGUUCUGUGGAGGCUCCAUGCAAAACUUUCUCCGUAGCCUACGUAAGUGGCCUGAUAUUUAUACUUGUGCGCUGGUGUGUGCGUCGAGCCGGCGUGUG
Sander lucioperca (pikeperch) is the source of this 883-nucleotide long non-coding RNA. RefSeq lists it as uncharacterized. The record is from RefSeq and is a predicted model, not a curated record. The transcript has 6 exons. Lineage: Eukaryota; Metazoa; Chordata; Actinopteri; Perciformes; Percidae.